GUGGGGAAUAUUGGACAAUGGGCGAAAGCCUGAUCCAGCCAUGCCGCGUGUGUGAAGAAGGUCUUCGGAUUGUAAAGCACUUUAAGUUGGGAGGAAGGGCAGUAAGUUAAUACCUUGCUGUUUUGACGUUACCGACAGAAUAAGCACCGGCUAACUUCGUGCCAGCAGCCGCGGUAAUACGAAGGGUGCAAGCGUUAAUCGGAAUUACUGGGCGUAAAGCGCGCGUAGGUGGUUUUGUAAGUUGGAGGUGAAAUCCCCGGGCUCAACCAGGGAACUGCCUCCAAAACUGCAUGACUAGAGUACGGUAGAGGGUAGUGGAAUUUCCUGUGUAGCGGUGAAAUGCGUAGAUAUAGGAAGGAACACCAGUGGCGAAGGCGACUACCUGGACUGAUACUGACACUGAGGUGCGAAAGCGUGGGGAGCAAACAGGAUUAGAAACCCGAGUAGUCC
RNAcentral lists this ribosomal RNA (450 nucleotides) under uncultured bacterium. RNAcentral describes it as "partial 16S ribosomal RNA". It matches the Rfam family "Bacterial small subunit ribosomal RNA", at positions 354 to 796 of the family's 1533-position model. The record is from RNAcentral.